Ixodes scapularis (black-legged tick) is the source of this 74-nucleotide non-coding RNA. The record is from Rfam. Lineage: Eukaryota; Metazoa; Arthropoda; Arachnida; Ixodida; Ixodidae.
GCAGUCGUGGCCGAGUGGUUAAAGCGAUGGACUAGAAAUCCAUUGGGAUCUCCCCGCACAGGUCAACUACUGCC